Molecule: transfer RNA, 60 nt
Filed under: Oxyrrhis marina
Lineage: Eukaryota; Dinophyceae; Oxyrrhinales; Oxyrrhinaceae
Source: RNAcentral
GGUGGUUUUCUAUUGGCUCUGUCCCGCCUCCCCUCCUAGUAUGGUAGCACCGACGUUGGC